Molecule: long non-coding RNA, 346 nt
Organism: Erigeron canadensis
Lineage: Eukaryota; Viridiplantae; Streptophyta; Magnoliopsida; Asterales; Asteraceae
Exons: 2
Source: RefSeq, a predicted model, not a curated record
UGAAAAUAAUGGGAAUUUGGCUAUUAGUUGUUAUAAGCAAACAAGUCAACUUCCCUCAAAAUGAGCUCGUAGAUAUUAAGGACGUUGUGAUAUUUUAGCAAUUUAGUGGUUCAAAACAAAGGUUGAAUGGAUUUUGAAGCUAGUGCGUCUUGGAAUUUUGAGAAAGAUGUUGGAAGGCCUAUUAUGGCCAUGAUAUAUGGUCAUGAUGGGUAAUUUAUAUAUUACGAGUAUAGUUUAUUCUUAUAGGAAAGUGUAUAGAUCUUUAUUGUACUUUUAUCAUGUGUUUUUAUGUAAACUUUGAUCAUGUUUAAGAGAUUAUAAAGUAUGUAGAUAAGUUUGAUUUCCA